Molecule: ribosomal RNA, 254 nt
Filed under: uncultured bacterium
Lineage: Bacteria
Description: partial 16S ribosomal RNA
Rfam family: Bacterial small subunit ribosomal RNA
Source: RNAcentral
UACGGGGGGAGCAAGCGUUGUUCGGAUUUACUGGGCGUAAAGGGCGCGUAGGCGGCCACCGCAAGUCAGUUGUGAAAGCUCUGGGCUUAACCCAGAAAGGUCAACUGAUACUGCGGGGCUAGAGUGCAGAAGGGGCAACUGGAAUUCUCGGUGUAGCGGUGAAAUGCGUAGAUAUCGAGAGGAACACCUGCGGCGAAGGCGGGUUGCUGGGCUGACACUGACGCUGAAGUGCGAAAGCUAGGGGAGCGAACGGG